This 198-nucleotide ribosomal RNA is filed under the name uncultured bacterium. Its description in RNAcentral is "partial 16S ribosomal RNA". It matches the Rfam family "Bacterial small subunit ribosomal RNA", at positions 328 to 539 of the family's 1533-position model. The record is from RNAcentral.
ACUCUCGACACCUACGGGAGACAGCAGUGGGGAAUAUUGCACAAUGGGGGAAACCCUGAUGCAGCGACGCCGCGUGAGCGAAGAAGUAUUUCGGUAUGUAAAGCUCUAUCAGCAGGGAAGAAAGUGACGGUACCUGACUAAGAAGCACCGGCUAAAUACGUGCCAGCAGCCGCGGUAAUCUGAGCGGGCUGGCAAGGC